GUAGCUCAGUUCGGUAGAGCACUUGACUGAAAAUCAAGGUGUCCCCAGUUCAAAUCUGGGC
This 61-nucleotide transfer RNA is filed under the name Chloroflexota bacterium. RNAcentral describes it as "Chloroflexi bacterium tRNA-Phe". It matches the Rfam family "tRNA", at positions 7 to 64 of the family's 71-position model. Rfam says of the family: Transfer RNA (tRNA) molecules are approximately 80 nucleotides in length. Their secondary structure includes four short double-helical elements and three loops (D, anti-codon, and T loops). Further hydrogen bonds mediate the characteristic L-shaped molecular structure. tRNAs have two regions of fundamental functional importance: the anti-codon, which is responsible for specific mRNA codon recognition, and the 3' end, to which the tRNAs corresponding amino acid is attached (by aminoacyl-tRNA synthetases). tRNAs cope with the degeneracy of the genetic code in two manners: having more than one tRNA (with a specific anti-codon) for a particular amino acid; and 'wobble' base-pairing, i.e. permitting non-standard base-pairing at the 3rd anti-codon position. Lineage: Bacteria; Bacillati; Chloroflexota. The record is from RNAcentral.